GCAUGCCUAACACAUGCAAGUCGAACGGUAACGACGGGAGCUUGCUCCCGGGCGACGAGUGGCGGACGGGUGAGUAAUACUUAGGAAUCUGCCCAGUAGUGGGGGACAACUCGAGGAAACUCGAGCUAAUACCGCAUACGCCCUACGGGGGAAAGCGGGGGAUCUUCGGACCUCGCGCUAUUGGAUGAGCCUAAGUCAGAUUAGCUUGUUGGUAGGGUAACGGCCUACCAAGGCGACGAUCUGUAGCUGGUCUGAGAGGACGAUCAGCCACACUGGGACUGAGACACGACCCAGACUCCUACGGGAGGCAGCAGUGGGGAAUAUUGGACAAUGGGCGCAAGCCUGAUCCAGCAAUGCCGCGUGUGUGAAGAAGGCCUGCGGGUUGUAAAGCACUUUCAGUAGAGAAGAAAAGCUUACGGUUAAUACCCGUGAGUCUUGACGUAACCUACAGAAGAAGCACCGGCUAACUCCGUGCCAGCAGCCGCGGUAAUACGGAGGGUGCGAACGUUAAUCGGAAUUACUGGGCGUAAAGCGCGCGUAGGCGGUUUGGUCAGUCGGAUGUGAAAGCCCUGGGCUUAACCUGGGAAUGGCAUUCGAUACUGCCUGACUAGAGUAUGGUAGAGGGAAGUGGAAUUUCCGGUGUAGCGGUGAAAUGCGUAGAUAUCGGAAGGAACACCAGUGGCGAAGGCGACUUCCUGGGCC
Molecule: ribosomal RNA, 702 nt
Filed under: uncultured Gammaproteobacteria bacterium
Lineage: Bacteria; Pseudomonadati; Pseudomonadota; Gammaproteobacteria
Description: bacterial SSU rRNA
Rfam family: Bacterial small subunit ribosomal RNA
Source: RNAcentral